UUAGGCCAGUAGAUAUUCCUGUAAGGUCUUGCUCUGCUUCUUGGUGGUUAGGUGACUUUGACCCUGUUCGCUUAACCAGAGUGAAGUCAGAGCCUUCAGAGUUCUCCUGUCCUCCUCCGGGAGAGAUAGCUGACAGUACCUGCCUGAUCGGAUUUGGGGGGCCUCAUAAGAGAAGCUAUGGAACUGCUUUGCAAACAUCGAGGAGGGGCUUGCAAAUAUCAGUGAUUACUAUUUAGCUAAUUGGGUGCCUCCCAAAGCCUUUGAAAGACAUCCCUUGCAACAAAAUGAAAAUGUAUAAAAAAUAUUUCUUUUUGUUUUCACGCAAUGCAACUAUUUAAUGGCCCUCUCUCCCAGAGGCUGAAAGGCAGUCCAAAGAGGUUGUCAAGGGCAAGACUGAGGCUAGAAGACGAUGUUCAUGUCCUGUCUCUGCCAUUUCCUAGCCAUGUGACCUUGGUCAAGUCACUAACAUCUAUGAACUUAAUCUGUAAAAUGAAGAUAAUAAGAGAACCGAUCAUCUUAACUCAUGUGCCAAGGGCUUGGGGCUGAGCACAGUGAGGACUCCAUAAAAUCACCUCAUUAUUUUUAUUACCUCCUGGCGAAAUAGAAUUCAUUAGUGUGCUAAGUAUUUAUUAAGCCUUGAGUUAUGCCUGGCAUGGAGGGAAAAGAGGAAAAUAAUAGUAAAGAGUGGAGCCAUGACUCCUGGCGUCAGGCCCUUCACAGGCCACAGAUCCACUGGGUCAGCCCACAUUCCGUGAUCGAUUUCCAAGGAGCAGACCACCACACGCUAAGAGCAGGACAGAGUUCUGCCCCCAAGGAACCGCAGUCCGGUAUGGUGGUAUACACCUGUAACCCUGGCACUCAGGAGGCCGAGGCAGGAGGAUCACAAAUUUAAGAUCUGUUUGUUUCUGGAAAGUGGCGUGGAAAUUUCCAAAAAGCAGCGAGGUGUGGCUGACUGGCUUCCUGGUUGGGGAGGAUUUUUCUUCAUUUGGAGGCAAACACUUCAGGUGGAGGAGGAGGGAGUGUCCCACCCAGCCGGGCCUUCCCAGCAAGCGGGAGGGCCUCUGAAUCCUGCUCACCCCCAGAUCUUGUCACCCCAAGUGAAGGGUGUCCAGAAUCUUCCACUUAGAACACCAGAACUUAACAUAGGGCUUCGCUUGUGGCCCGUGUUCCCGCUGACGCUCAGACGGGCAGGGAGAAUAGUUAUCUUGGUCCAUUAAAAUCACCUGUGUGUUGGGAGCCGUGGCACUGUCAAGUCAUCAGACGCGGUGAUUGCGAGGCCUGUGGGAAAGUACAAAAGCCUGGGCUAGAUUACCCCUCUCAUCGAGCCCGCCUGUGUGGCACCUGUUUCUUAUCACCCCACUAAGUUCCCGCCUCACAGGGUAGUCUGCCUAGCUAUUAAUCCUAUAUAUAGCCAGUGCCUCCACCCCCGAGAGAGAGAGAGAGAGAGAAGCACGAAAGGAGCCGCGGGGAGCGGACCAGAGGAGGCUUCGGAGCGAAGCACAAAAGGAGCCGCGGGGAGCGGACCGGUAGAGGCUUCGGGGCAGGCUGUACGCGGAGAAGGAAAAUAAAAGAAAAGGUUGUCCACCGCCAGACUUUGUCGUGUGUCCUUCCUGCCGGCCGGGAGCUCGGACACCGACAUUUGGUGGCCCGCCCGGGGAUUGAUCAACCCCGAGACGCGGUGGUGGACUGCAUUCUCCUACACAGUGCUGCAGCUGCAGGACAGGUGAGUAGAGGAUAAGCCUGGGCCCUGGGUGGCGCGCACCUACAGGGUUUGUAGACUCCUCUCAACCUCACGCGUAAGUGGCGGGUUUCUUGGGCCUCACGCGGUGAGUAUGAAACAUAACACCAGAACUUAAGGUAAUAAAAGAGUGUAAAACAUAAACAUAGAAGUAAAAAUAACAGAAGAUAUAUUAAAAAUGGGAAACAUGCCAAGUAAAGAUACACAGCCUUGGUGUUGGUCCUUCGGAGACUCCUAAAGUCCAAGGACCUCAAGGUGGGGCGUAAGACUUUAGAAAAUUUCCUUGCAGAGAUUGACAGCUUUGCUCCCUGGUUUCUGCCUACAGGGCAUGUAAACCUGCCCUCCUGGGAAAAGUUGGGCAGAGACCUUUCCCUAGCAGAGCGGGAGGGUAGAGCUUCAGUCUCUGCUCGUCCGUUGUGGGAAAUGAUACACACGUGCCUAAAGAGUGAGGGUAGUUACGGGGGGAGCUCUCAAGAACUUGUAGAAGUACGCGAGGUGUUUGAACAGGCACAGUCAGGAAGCUCCCGAGAAGGGUCCGUCAAGGAGGGCAGAGAUACAAAAGAGGAAGCCGAGGCGCGGUUUGUGUCUUUCCGCAGGAAUCGGGACGAGAGCCAAUGUGGGUCCCAGAGAGGUUGACGCGACAAGUCCCUCGACUGAAGAUCAGGCCUGUUCCACCAGAGGCCAACCGCAGACCCAACAACAAGAUGAGCCCUAAAAGAACUGCAGGACAAUCCCUUUUUGGGGGCCUGGAACGGCUUGCUCCCCUAUGUGCUACCCUUGUAUACGCAUGGCUCGCUCGCAUGGCCUACGACCGCGUUUAAAAGUGACAGGCUUCCCACAUUCUCCUCCCUAGACAACAACAUGUAGCAGGGUGGAUGAGUCAAUGACGGGUAAGAGCGUGCCUCCCCAGCACGACUCAACCUAAGCCAGGCCCUACCCCGUUCCGCUCGAAAGCCGCUGGAUUGUUAGAUAAAUUUCUCUCCGAGGGGAUUCGUGGAGAGAAAUGAGUGCAUGCCUAUGUGCAACCAGGUUCCGUCCGGUUCAUUCCUGGCCCUAGAAAAAAGGACGAGGGCCUCAGGGCCUUGGUGGACCCUGGGACGGCCGACCAGGGUCUACGCUAAGGGCCUACGGUGGGCCUCAGUUCAGGGCAUAGGCCUCUGCACUCUAUCCAGGACGGGCUGCGAUGCGCGUAUUCAUUUAAAAUAAAAUAGGGGGAGAUGUUGGGAGCCGUGGCACUGUCAAGUCAUCAGACGCGGUGAUUGCGAGGCCUGUGGGAAAGUACAAAAGCCUGGGCUAGAUUACCCCUCUCAUCGAGCCCGCCUGUGUGGCACCUGUUUCUUAUCACCCCACUAAGUUCCCGCCUCACAGGGUAGUCUGCCUAGCUAUUAAUCCUAUAUAUAGCCAGUGCCUCCACCCCCGAGAGAGAGAGAGAGAGAGAAGCACGAAAGGAGCCGCGGGGAGCGGACCAGAGGAGGCUUCGGAGCGAAGCACAAAAGGAGCCGCGGGGAGCGGACCGGUAGAGGCUUCGGGGCAGGCUGUACGCGGAGAAGGAAAAUAAAAGAAAAGGUUGUCCACCGCCAGACUUUGUCGUGUGUCCUUCCUGCCGGCCGGGAGCUCGGACACCGACACCUGUGUCUUUUUUUUUUUUAACAAGAGGAAAAAAAUAAUAAAACUGAGUUUCAAAACAGGUUA
Cavia porcellus (domestic guinea pig) is the source of this 3430-nucleotide long non-coding RNA. RefSeq lists it as uncharacterized. NCBI's taxonomy places the organism in Eukaryota, Metazoa, Chordata, Mammalia, Rodentia, Caviidae. The record is from RefSeq and is a predicted model, not a curated record. The transcript has 3 exons.